RNAcentral lists this ribosomal RNA (501 nucleotides) under uncultured bacterium. Its description in RNAcentral is "partial 16S ribosomal RNA". It matches the Rfam family "Bacterial small subunit ribosomal RNA", at positions 30 to 523 of the family's 1533-position model. The record is from RNAcentral.
AUUGAACGCUGGCGGCAGGCUUAACACAUGCAAGUCGAGCGGAGAGAGGUAGCUUGCUACUGAUCUUAGCGGCGGGCGGGUGAGUAAUGCUUAGGAAUCUGCCUAUUAGUGGGGGACAACAUUUCGAAAGGAAUGCUAAUACCGCAUACGUCCUACGGGAGAAAGCAGGGGAUCUUCGGACCUUGCGCUAAUAGAUGAGCCUAAGUCGGAUGAGCUAGUUGGUGGGGUAAAGGCCUACCAAGGCGACGAUCUGUAGCGGGUCUGAGAGGAUGAUCCGCCACACUGGGACUGAGACACGGCCCAGACUCCUACGGGAGGUAGCAGUGGGGAAUAUUGGACAAUGGGCGCAAGCCUGAUCCAGCCAUGCCGCGUGUGUGAAGAAGGCCUUAUGGUUGUAAAGCACUUUAAGCGAGGAGGAGGCUACUUUAGUUAAUACCUAGAGAUAGUGGACGUUACUCGCAGAAUAAGCACCGGCUAACUCUGUGCCAGCCGCCGCUGUAA